RNAcentral lists this ribosomal RNA (263 nucleotides) under uncultured bacterium. RNAcentral describes it as "partial 16S ribosomal RNA". It matches the Rfam family "Bacterial small subunit ribosomal RNA", at positions 92 to 354 of the family's 1533-position model. The record is from RNAcentral.
UUAGUGGCGGACGGGUGAGUAACGCGUGGGCAACCUGCCUUACACAGGGGGAUAACACUUAGAAAUAGGUGCUAAAACCGCAUAAGCGCACAGCUUCGCAUGAAGCGGUGUGAAAAACUCCGGUGGUGUAAGAUGGACCCGCGUCUGAUUAGCUUGUUGGCGGGGUAACGGCCCACCAAGGCGACGAUCAGUAGCCGGCCUGAGAGGGCGGACCGGCCACAUUGGGACUGAGACACGGCCCAGACUCCUACGGGAGGCAGCAG